GCGAAUUUUCGGCGAAUGUCGUACUUCACUGAUCGAUUCCAGGCUGUUGUCGAGAGACAGAUUGCUUGGGGU
Molecule: transfer RNA, 72 nt
Filed under: uncultured Pseudomonas sp.
Lineage: Bacteria; Pseudomonadati; Pseudomonadota; Gammaproteobacteria; Pseudomonadales; Pseudomonadaceae
Description: transfer RNA-Ala
Source: RNAcentral